CUCUCUCUCUCUCUCUCUCUCUAACCUUCGUUCUCCAAUUCCUCAGAUUCUUCUUUCUCCGUCGCUGAGAAUAAAGGAGGACAAAGUUCUUCUCUUUUCUGAAUCCCCUCUAUUCUAUCUAAACCCUAACCCACUCCCCUCAAUUUCAUUUUAAGAGUGAAAAACCACUUCCUUAUCCACAAGUCCAAAACGUUCUUGUUUGCUCCUCCGGUCUAAAGAAAAUGGCGACUGCAAACGCUCUCUCUUCCGCCUCCGUCCUCUGCUCUUCACACCAGGAAAAUUUUGAUUUAAGAUUUUGGUGGCGUUGAGAGCAAGGGAACCACAGCAAUGACGCGAUGCCAUCAUCACAGCAAGAGGUUCACAUCACACACAUAAUGUCUAUGUUUGAUGAUCAGCGCAUUUGAAGACUGACAUUAUGUCUAUGUUUGAUGAUCUUACUCAAGAUGGAUGAAGCUAAAGCUGUUGGGCAGUUAAGAAACUAUAGGAUGGCAAGUCUGCUUGGAUGUUGCUAUGAAGGUGAAGAGAGACUUCUUGUUCCUGAGUUUAUAUAUGCCUAACGAAACUCUGGCUAAGCAUCUUUUCCACUGGGAGUCGCAACCUAUGAAGUGAGCAAUGUGAGUAAGAGUAGCUUUACAUAUUGCUCCUGCUCGUAUUCCUGGUGGUGCUUGCCGUGGAACUGCUGAUAUGAGUGACUUAACUAGGUUGUGAACUAGGUUGUGAUUGUGAUUGUGUGUAUUUUGGCUGGUAAAGCUGCUGGAGCUUAAGUGAUUGUUGUUCCUUCUCUGCCUAAACAAACACAUCUUUUUCUUCUCUGCCUAAAGUAAAGUUUGAAGUUAGUCCU
Molecule: long non-coding RNA, 841 nt
Organism: Brassica napus (rape)
Lineage: Eukaryota; Viridiplantae; Streptophyta; Magnoliopsida; Brassicales; Brassicaceae
Exons: 4
Source: RefSeq, a predicted model, not a curated record